Molecule: ribosomal RNA, 510 nt
Filed under: uncultured Actinomycetes bacterium
Lineage: Bacteria; Bacillati; Actinomycetota; Actinomycetes
Description: bacterial SSU rRNA
Rfam family: Bacterial small subunit ribosomal RNA
Source: RNAcentral
AGAGUUUGAUCCUGGCUCAGGACGAACGCUGGCGGCGUGCUUAACACAUGCAAGUCGAACGAUGAACUCCAGCUUGCUGGGGGGAUUAGUGGCGAACGGGUGAGUAACACGUGAGUAACCUGCCCUGGACUCUGGGAUAACCCCGAGAAAUCGGAGCUAAUACCGGAUAGGACCUGGAACCGCAUGGUUUUGGGUGGAAAGUUUUUCGGUCUGGGAUGGACUCGCGGCCUAUCAGCUUGUUGGUGAGGUAAUGGCUCACCAAGGCGUCGACGGGUAGCCGGCCUGAGAGGGUGACCGGCCACACUGGGACUGAGACACGGCCCAGACUCCUACGGGAGGCAGCAGUGGGGAAUAUUGCACAAUGGGCGCAAGCCUGAUGCAGCAACGCCGCGUGCGGGAUGACGGCCUUCAGGUUGUAAACCGCUUUUAGUAAGGAAGAAGGGAAGCGCAAGCUUUUUGACGGUACUUGCAGAAAAAGGACCGGCUAACUACGUGCCAGCAGCCGCGGUA